UACGUAGGGUGCGAGCGUUGUCCGGAAUUAUUGGGCGUAAAGAGCUUGUAGGCGGUUUGUCGCGUCUGCUGUGAAAAUCCGGGGCUCAACCCCGGACUUGCAGUGGGUACGGGCAGACUGGAGUGUGGUAGGGGAGACUGGAAUUCCUGGUGUAGCGGUGAAAUGCGCAGAUAUCAGGAGGAACACCGGUGGCGAAGGCGGGUCUCUGGGCAGUAACUGACGCUGAGGAGCGAAAGCGUGGGGAGCGAACAGG
This 253-nucleotide ribosomal RNA is filed under the name uncultured bacterium. Its description in RNAcentral is "partial 16S ribosomal RNA". It matches the Rfam family "Bacterial small subunit ribosomal RNA", at positions 524 to 776 of the family's 1533-position model. The record is from RNAcentral.